GAUGAACGCUAGCUACAGGCUUAACACAUUCAAGUCGCGGGGCAGCAUGGGGGUUGCUUGCAACCCCUGAUGGCGACCGGCGCACGGGUGAGUAACGCGUAUCCAACCUUCCCUUCACCACGGGAUAACCCGGCGAAAGUCGGACUAAUACCUUAUGUUGUCCAUUGACGGCAUCCGAUUUGGACGAAAUGCUUGGCGUAGAAAGUAUGGGGAUGCGUCCGAUUAGCUUGACGGCGGGGUAACGGCCCACCGUGGCUACGAUCGGUAGGGGUUCUGAGAGGAAGGUCCCCCACACUGGAACUGAGACACGGUCCAGACUCCUACGGGAGGCAGCAGUGAGGAAUAUUGGUCAAUGGGCGUAAGCCUGAACCAGCCAAGUAGCGUGCAGGAUGACGGCCCUAUGGGUUGUAAACUGCUUUUAUGCGGGGAUAAAGUGGCCCACGUGUGGGCUUUUGCAGGUACCGCAUGAAUAAGGACCGGCUAAUUCCGUG
This 491-nucleotide ribosomal RNA is filed under the name uncultured bacterium. RNAcentral describes it as "partial 16S ribosomal RNA". It matches the Rfam family "Bacterial small subunit ribosomal RNA", at positions 28 to 507 of the family's 1533-position model. The record is from RNAcentral.